UCUUCAAAGCCACCAUUGUUAUUCUCUCAAAGCUCUUAAUUUUUUUUUCUUUUCAACUUAUUCUUGAGAUUUAUUGUAUUGUGAAGAUUAAUUUGUUGAGUGCUACAAUUUGUAAAUCCACUCUCUUAGAGAGUUUUUCUCAUCUUGUUCUUCAUUUCUAAAUCUAUUGUAAAGGGUUACUCUUGAACCCAUAACAACAUUUUUGUAACGGUUUGAUCUUCAACCAUGAAAAGGAUCAGGUUUGUUCUUACGCCGGAGAAAAGAACAUUGUAGUAGUUCGACUCUAAGCCGUGAAAAGAGUCAAGUUUAUAGUGACAUACCCAAGAGGAGCUUGGAAAGUGGAUCUCGCGCCUACACGCCUAAACCCUUUCAUUUCUCUCUUACCCAAACCUUAUCCAUUUGUGGUCGUGCGAAUCAGGUUGUCCGUCGUCCAAGCUUGGCUGUGCAAAUUAGUUUGUCCGUCCUCCGUUCAUGGUUGUUCGUCCGUCUCUGUCACGCUUAGAUCUCUCUUUGGCCGUCAGUCUCAGUCGCCGUUCGCCCGUCAGUCUUCGUCAAUUUUCAUGGGUCUCUAUCAGUCUUUAACAACGCAUAUCUGUAGUCGUGGGACUCUGUCGUCCGUAGAUUUGUAGUCGUCCAUCCGUCCAGCUUUUCCAUCCAAAAUUUAGAGCUCCAGACGACAUCACACAUCUUGCGGAUUGGAAGGUGAAAAGGUUCAAGAAGAACAUUUUGAAGAGGGGUUAUGCCUGAGACUGCUACAAAGAAAGGAAAGGACUCCCUGUUGGCCCUAUUCUUCUUGGGUUCUUCAUUUUGUCGUCAUUAGAUCAUAUUUCAAGAAAGUUGACUUUUGUUCGAGGAAAUGAAAUCUGGAUUGAGAAUUGUAGUGUUGCUUAUUGAGGAUAGUAGUUUUUCCUUCUAUUAUAAAAUACAAUUUUGUUGUUUGAGGAGAUAAAUUUGUUUAGUUUCUUGUAUUUGUAAGUUUGUAAGUUUUGUUGUUUAUGGUUAUGCCUUCUAGGUAACAUCCAAGACGAACUUGCUCAAUGUGCACUAUUCUUUGUGAAAAGAGUUAACUUUUUCAGUAUACUAAAAAUAUUUCCAUAAUUUUCACAACUCAUCAAGAGAAGAAACACAGAAACAAAGAUUCAAUACUCAUCAUACUUCAUAACAACAUUAAGAAGUUUGACAAGUUUUUCCAGGCUAGAUAGGAAGAUUGCAUUGUACAUGUUUUAAGAAGGUUGACAACUGGAGCAGGUGCAUCCAACACAAAAAGGACUUCAUAACAACAUUAAUAACAAGUAUUUAUAAGAUGUUUAUCUUAAAAGUCUAUUUGUUCUAAAGUUUUGGAUUAGAUUUAGUAUUGGAAUGCUAUAACUAUUCUGCAGUUGUGGUAGUCAUAGCUUAGUUGUUUAUGACUUCCAAUGAGUGGUUUAUGGUAGUGGAACUUCUUAGGUAUCCUUUGAUAGUUUAUAUUUAUGCAUUAUUUGUCUAAAUGAAUCCGGUUGCACUAUGGUAGUUUUUGGGUUAUUCAUGCAUUGUGGGUUAGGUUAAUUCUUUAUUAUCAUUGUCGAAUCUUUUGUUAUCUCUUGUUUAACCAUUUAUUGUAGCACGUGUAGUUGAUGACUUUAAAUUCAGAUCAAAUUUGUCCACUGUCAUACAAUGGGGUUGUCUUUGUUGUUCUUGUUCAACAAUUUCCAUCUAAAUUUAUUGGGCUUGCAUUGCGCUCUUGUGUUCUAAUCUUGAAGUUCUGGAGAUCACUAAGUCUCAAUCAUCAAUAAAUCGCAUCGCAGGUGGUGAACUUCGUCAAUUUGUUUCCGAUAAACGUUGUCUUAAGAGUCUGAAGAUGGAAGGUUGUUCUAGUUUGGGGAGUUUUUCCCUCUGUUCAUCAAGUCUUGGCACACUUUGGCUUUCUGAUCUGCUCCCUCUCUAAGAUGGUUAUAUCUCUUGUCCUUUUAUCUAUUACAAUGACUACCUCUGAUGCAAAAAUAAGUUUGCUCAUUCAUUUACUAUUUUUAUAUAUAAGGUACAACCGUGAACUACUUUAUUGAUGACAAAAUUAAUAGAGCUGAGGUACUUUUCCCUGGUGUUGCUUACUUUUUUAUUGCGGUUGCUAAAAUGGUCGUCCCUACUGAGAAAUAUUUCUCUACUAUAGUUUCUUGCUAAGUCCACAAAAUUGUGUCGGUUAUUAAGAAUAAGUUGACAAAAGAGUAGAUGAGAAUGUUUAGGACAACGACCUUUGGUCCACUGUUAGACUUUAAUGGGCAACUUUUUCACCAUUUUCUUUUGAGGGAGGUAAUGGAUGCGAACCCAGAUGUUAUAUCAUUCAACAUAUUGGGGAAGAAGGUAACAUUCUCCCAAGACGAUUUUAAUUUGAUAACUGGGUUGUGGCUAACCAAGGAAAUAGUAGAAAGAGAAACGAGUGGUAAGAAACUGCAACAACUCAUUCUUGGAUCGAAUGACCCAAAUGAUAAGGAUAGUUCUUGCAAGGCAUGGAGAAUUCGUUCGAGCAUUUCAUUUUUACAAAUGAUAAAGAUGUCGUCAAGGUUACAUUGGCAUUAUUUAUCGAAACGGUGAUGAUUGGAAAAGAUAAGAAACCCCAAUUUGAUUUGAAGACAUUUGGGAUUGUCGAUGAACCUGAAGUCUUUAGAUAUUAUGAAUAGUCGUCCGUCUUUUCUAAACAUACAUUGAAUAGCAUGAAGAUUAUCAUGCAUUGGAAAAAUGAGGCACAUGAAACAAUGAAAGCAGAAAAUGCUCAUCAUGCCUCAUAUUACUAUAUAAAGGGAUUUGCACUUGCAUUCCAGGAUAACAAUAAAAGGACUCAUGAUGGUAAUAAUAAUGACGGUAAUAAUGAUGCUGCUAAUAAUGAAGAUGGUAGUAAUAAUAAUAAUGAAGGAACCCCCCAUGAUGAGCACUCCAAAUUUAUUAGUGAUCACUGCGUGGUUGUUGAACACAAAAUGAUGGAAGAAGCAACCGUCGAUGAAAAAACUGAACUCCCAUACGACUGCUCAAUCUUAGGAGCCACUUCGAUUUGGAUCCAACCAAGGUUAUGAAGAGUGCAACUCAACAUGAAGCCAUUGAAAUCAAGACGAUUGUGCUGCUGCAGCCAACUUGUUUGCUGGGCGAUAGAGAUUGCGUAGAGGUCUUCCGUUGCGUCUGAGUUCCAAAGCUUGAAGAGCGUCUUCAACUGGAUGGAAAAAUGGCAGGCUGGUUGGAUUAGGAAGCACACAUGAGGUUUUGGGCAGGCUCAUCUUAUUUUAUUGACUAGGUGCUUGGACAACACGAAGAAUAUAAACCAUCAUGGACAGAUGUUGACUUCACAUUUGUCCAAUCAACAUCAAAUAACACUGGCCCAUGCUUGCCAUCAAUCUAGAAAUGUGCACUAUCUAUGUAUUUGACUCCAUGCCUAACUAUAUCGAUAGUGACAUACUUGAUGGUUAUCUUCAGUUGGUGGCCAGAUUAAUACCGUCGAUGUUGAUUUUCGUCAGAUAUGACAAGUGACAUAGAAAAUUUACGUACGGGCCAUGGGAAGUGAAGUGAUCAAAGACAACACUCCAACAGAGCAAGUCUCUUGACUGUGACAUUUUUUGUUCUAAGUUUGUAGAAUAUAUUGUAACUGGUAUGGAUACGGAUAGCCUAGAUCAGAACAAUA
Non-coding RNA from Benincasa hispida (wax gourd), 3643 nucleotides. NCBI's taxonomy places the organism in Eukaryota, Viridiplantae, Streptophyta, Magnoliopsida, Cucurbitales, Cucurbitaceae. The record is from RefSeq and is a predicted model, not a curated record.